This is a long non-coding RNA of Acanthopagrus latus (yellowfin seabream), 1342 nucleotides long. RefSeq lists it as uncharacterized. The record is from RefSeq and is a predicted model, not a curated record. NCBI's taxonomy places the organism in Eukaryota, Metazoa, Chordata, Actinopteri, Spariformes, Sparidae. The transcript has 3 exons.
UGCUACUUUGCACAUCAUGAAGAAGAGUUGUUGGUCGAGUUUGCAGUUGUCUUUGUCACAUUUAAUCAGAAUCCCACUAAGUUUAAGUUUAAUUCAUUCAUUCAUUCAUUCGUUCAUUCAUUUUGCUAAAGCUGUGUGUACAUACACAGUGUACGUAUUGAAUGGCUAAAUACUACAUCAUAUACCAAAUUAUUAUUAUUAUUACAUGUCUAUUUGGAUGCCUUCAUAUAAAACGUGUUUAAUCAUUAGGGCAUAUUUGUUAUUAAAAGGUUUAACACUAAGACAUUUGAUAUAUCUGUCUGUAUGGCCCACUUAGCAUGAGUAACUGCUACAACAGUGCGAUUACAAUUGUUACUGUAUAAUAACCAUUGUGUUUGGUUGUGCACAGGAAAUAUGAAGAGGUAAGCUAACUUCUUUCCAGGAAGGAUGAGGGUGUCCUUCAGGAAGAGUCCAUUGGGCCACCUGAAGCAGGGCCCCUCAGAUGAGGCCAUGAAGAUUAAGAAAAAUCCUCUGCUUCAAGACAGGUCUCUGCCCCAGAGUCAUGAUAUAGUGAGGACGAACGCCCUUACUGAGGUCUUUCAGAGGGGCGGUGAUGUGUCAGACUGUCUGGAGGUGACAGGGGAGUACAUCUUGCAGUUCGGGAAGUACAACGGAAAGAGGUUCAGAUGGCUUCUGGGGAAUGUUGUCAGGUACAUCAUCUUCCUGUUAAGGUAGGUAAAAGAAGAGGAGAGAGACAGGACCCUCAACCCCCAGGGACAUAACAAGGACAGCCUGCCGUCAUUUCUGGACAACACCAGGAGUUUCCAAGAAGUUGUGGACCUGAGGGACUACCUGUUCUCCCGAAAGCCUGUGACACCCGUGGCUUCAGACGGCUUUGGGGAAAGGGCCAAGGACACCUGGAAGCAGAUCUGGGAGAAAAAGGCUAGUGGUUGUGUGGGUUUCAUCCUCAGAGUGAAGUGCAUCCCAAACAACAAAAUGUUCAAACUGCAGCAGUAAAUCAGGGAGCGGCAGGCUGCUGAGUCCUGUGCAACACCAACUGCAACCUCAACUACAUCAGAUGUGUCUGUGCCACCAUCCUUCACUAUAGUGAUGGAGGAAGACAAGGAGCUGGAGAGGGGGGGGCCACUGCCCUGCUGCUGUCGUGGACACAGAUGCUCAGGAGACCAGUGGAACUGUCCAGGUGGAUCCCGUGCCGGUCCUGUCUUCCCAGCAGUGCUCUGACGCUCAGUCCCAGGCACCCUUGAUACCAGCAUCUGCCACAAUGAAAGCUGGGAUGCAGUCUUUAAUGGACACAGGUCAUUCAAGCCCACCUACCAUCCCUCAAGUAGAACUAUAAGUUAAA